CGAGAUGCUAAAUAUGUGUUUAUAAAUAAGAGAUAAUUUUCAUCUUUAAAAUUAAUUUUGUAAGAUUGAAUUAUGCUUAAUUAUCAAUUCUAAAAUAUAUCAGAGUCUCCUCCAUGAUCUGCUAGGCCGUCCGUUGUCAAGUUUCUGAUCGGAUCAUCCUUUAUUUAUAUCAGCACCCCAAGCUCCUCCAUGAUUUGCUAGGCCGCCUGCUAUCAAGUUUCUGACCAGAUCAUCAUUUAUUUAUAUCAGGGCCCCAAGCUAAUAGUGUUGGGUGCAUGGAAGUGUGUUAAAAAUUCUUAUAUCGGU
This 306-nucleotide long non-coding RNA is filed under the name Trifolium pratense (red clover). RNAcentral's name for it is "long non-coding RNA (TPRA_LNC010833)". The record is from RNAcentral. Lineage: Eukaryota; Viridiplantae; Streptophyta; Magnoliopsida; Fabales; Fabaceae.